UACAGAGGGGGCAAGCGUUAUUCACAAUUAUUAGGCGUAAAGGGUGCGUAGAUCGUUUUUUAGUUUUGUUUUUUAAAAUCCCAUUUAUUUAAAAAUGGUAGCGGAAAAUAAACUGGAAGCUUGAGUGGAAAAAGGAUUGGUAGAAUUGUUGGCUUAAGGAUGAAAUCUUUCGAUCCCAAUAGGAAUGCCAUUUAGCGAAGGCAACUUUUUUUUUUCUACUGACGUUGAGGCACGAAGGUAUGGGGAUCAAACAGG
This 255-nucleotide ribosomal RNA is filed under the name uncultured bacterium. RNAcentral describes it as "partial 16S ribosomal RNA". It matches the Rfam family "Bacterial small subunit ribosomal RNA", at positions 524 to 776 of the family's 1533-position model. The record is from RNAcentral.